RNAcentral lists this ribosomal RNA (606 nucleotides) under uncultured bacterium. Its description in RNAcentral is "bacterial SSU rRNA". The stretch from base 1 to 535 matches the Rfam family "Bacterial small subunit ribosomal RNA", at positions 338 to 873 of the family's 1533-position model. The record is from RNAcentral.
CCUACGGGAGGCAGCAGUAAGGAAUAUUGGACAAUGGACGCAAGUCUGAUCCAGCCAUGCCGCGUGAAGGAUUAAGGCCCUCUGGGUUGUAAACUUCUUUUAUAGGGACGAAAAAAGGGCUUUCUAGCUCGACUGACGGUACCCUAUGAAUAAGCACCGGCUAACUCCGUGCCAGCAGCCGCGGUAAUACGGAGGGUGCAAGCGUUAUCCGGAUUCACUGGGUUUAAAGGGUGCGUAGGCGGGUCAUUUAAGGUCAGUGGUGAAAUCUUCGAGCUCAACUCGGAAACUGCCAUUGAUACUAUUUGUCUUGAAUAUUGUGGAGGUGAGCGGAAUAUGUCAUGUAGCGGUGAAAUGCUUAGAUAUGACAUAGAACACCGAUUGCGAAGGCAGCUCGCUACACGAAAUAUUAGACGCUGAGGCACGAAAGCGUGGGGAUCGAACAGGAUUAGAUACCCUGGUAGUCCACGCCCUAAACUAUGGAUACUCGACAUUUGCGAUACACAGUAAGUGUCUGNGNGAAGANAUAGUAUCCUCCGUGAGUUAGACGCGAGUUAGAACGACGAGAGUAGAGGNGNGAGAGNGCGACGGACGACGACGAGGAGGAGG